GCCUCUGGCUUUGGUUACUCCACCCUCAGAGCCUGUGUCCCGAACCAUGCGGAUUUACCUUCUGUCCUGCGUGUUGUCGCUGAUCCUGUUGGCGGGUCCUGGUGCGCCUCAGAAGAUUGUGCAGCUCCAGCAGUUUGUGUCGGUGAGACAGGGCGAGUCAGUGACUAUCCCGUGUACCCAGCACGGGAAUGAUGCUUACAUGUACUGGUAUCGCCAGCUCCCGGGCCAGGGGCUCCGGAACCUCUUGUACGCAGUGGAGUCAGGGGAGCCGAUCAGGUCGGACGGGAUCACCGAGAGAUUUUUCGCCAAGAAGACAAACGGCAUCUUCGACCUGAAGAUAGGGACAGUGGAGCGGGCCGACGCGGCUCGCGUUUUGCAUCAGAAUGUCGAUUGUCGUCGAGCUGGUAGUAAUUUUGCCUCUGGUGCUUGGGCCGAGACUUUCUCUUGA
Molecule: non-coding RNA, 448 nt
Organism: Carcharodon carcharias (great white shark)
Lineage: Eukaryota; Metazoa; Chordata; Chondrichthyes; Lamniformes; Lamnidae
Source: the annotation of a RefSeq genome assembly